GGUGAACCUGCGGAAGGAUCAUUAACG
RNAcentral lists this non-coding RNA (27 nucleotides) under Homo sapiens (human). Lineage: Eukaryota; Metazoa; Chordata; Mammalia; Primates; Hominidae. RNAcentral also lists the same sequence under 2 other names. The record is from RNAcentral.